This 497-nucleotide ribosomal RNA is filed under the name uncultured bacterium. RNAcentral's name for it is "partial 16S ribosomal RNA". It matches the Rfam family "Bacterial small subunit ribosomal RNA", at positions 28 to 507 of the family's 1533-position model. The record is from RNAcentral.
GAUGAACGCUGGCGGCGUGCCUAAUACAUGCAAGUCGAGCGAACAGACGAGGAGCUUGCUCCUCUGACGUUAGCGGCGGACGGGUGAGUAACACGUGGAUAACCUACCUAUAAGACUGGGAUAACUUCGGGAAACCGGAGCUAAUACCGGAUAAUAUAUUGAACCGCAUGGUUCAAUAGUGAAAGACGGUUUUGCUGUCACUUAUAGAUGGAUCCGCGCCGCAUUAGCUAGUUGGUAAGGUAACGGCUUACCAAGGCAACGAUGCGUAGCCGACCUGAGAGGGUGAUCGGCCACACUGGAACUGAGACACGGUCCAGACUCCUACGGGAGGCAGCAGUAGGGAAUCUUCGGCAAUGGGCGAAAGCUUGACGGAGCAACGCCGCGUGAGUGAUGAAGGUCUUCGGAUCGUAAAACUCUGUUAUUAGGGAAGAACAAAUGUGGAAGUAACUAUGCACGUCUUGACGGUACCUAAUCAGAAAGCCACGGCUAACUACGUG